ACCAACCCGAUGCAAACUACGAAUACCGAAGAAUGUUAUCACGGGAGACACACGGCGGGUGCUAACGUCCGUCGUGAAGAGGGAAACAACCCAGACCGCCAGCUAAGGUCCCAAAGUCACAGUUAAGUGGGAAACGAUGUGGGAAGGCACAGACAGCCAGGAUGUUGGCUUAGAAGCAGCCAUCAUUUAAAGAAAGCGUAAUAGCUCACUGGUCGAGUCGGCCUGCGCGGAAGAUGUAACGGGGCUAAACUGUGCACCGAAGCUGCGGCAGCGACACUAUGUGUUGUUGGGUAGGGGAGCGUUCUGUAAGCCUGCGAAGGUGGCCUGUGAGGGUUGCUGGAGGUAUCAGAAGUGCGAAUGCUGACAUAAGUAACGAUAAUGCGGGUGAAAAGCCCGCACGCCGGAAGACCAAGGGUUCCUGUCCAACGUUAAUCGGGGCAGGGUGAGUCGACCCCUAAGGCGAGGCCGAAAGGCGUAGUCGAUGGGAAACAGGUUAAUAUUCCUGUACUUGGUGUUACUGCGAAGGGGGGACGGAGAAGGCUAUGUUAGCCGGGCGACGGUUGUCCCGGUUUAAGCAUGUAGGCGGAGGUUCCAGGUAAAUCCGGUACCUUUUAACGCUGAGGUGUGAUGACGAGGCACUACGGUGCUGAAGUAACAAAUGCCCUGCUUCCAGGAAAAGCCUCUAAGCAUCAGGUAACAUUGAAUCGUACCCCAAACCGACACAGGUGGUCAGGUAGAGAAUACCAAGGCGCUUGAGAGAACUCGGGUGAAGGAACUAGGCAAAAUGGUGCCGUAACUUCGGGAGAAGGCACGCUG
Molecule: ribosomal RNA, 816 nt
Filed under: Klebsiella pneumoniae
Lineage: Bacteria; Pseudomonadati; Pseudomonadota; Gammaproteobacteria; Enterobacterales; Enterobacteriaceae
Description: bacterial LSU rRNA
Rfam family: Bacterial large subunit ribosomal RNA
Source: RNAcentral